This 498-nucleotide ribosomal RNA is filed under the name uncultured bacterium. Its description in RNAcentral is "partial 16S ribosomal RNA". It matches the Rfam family "Bacterial small subunit ribosomal RNA", at positions 28 to 507 of the family's 1533-position model. The record is from RNAcentral.
GACGAACGCUGGCGGCAUGCCUAAUACAUGCAAGUUGAACGAUGAUAUUCUCUGCUUGCAGAGACUUGAAGAGUAGCGAACGGGUGAGUAACACGUGGGGAACCUGCCCAUGAGAGGGGGAUAACAUUCGGAAACGGAUGCUAAUACCGCAUAAUGCUUUGGACCGCCUGGUCCAGAGACGAAAGACGGCUUUUGCUGUCACUCAUGGAUGGCCCCGCGCCGUAUUAGCUAGUUGGUGAGGUAAUGGCUCACCAAAGCUGUGAUACGUAGCCGACCUGAGAGGGUGAUCGGCCACACUGGGACUGAGACACGGCCCAGACUCCUACGGGAGGCAGCAGUAGGGAAUCUUCCACAAUGGGCGAAAGCCUGAUGGAGCAAUGCCGCGUGAAUGAAGAAGGUCUUCGGAUCGUAAAGUUCUGUUAUUAGAGAAGAACAAGUCAAGGAGUAACUGUCGUGAAUUUGACGGUACCUAACCAGAAAGUCACGGCUAACUACGUG